This 467-nucleotide ribosomal RNA is filed under the name uncultured bacterium. Its description in RNAcentral is "partial 16S ribosomal RNA". It matches the Rfam family "Bacterial small subunit ribosomal RNA", at positions 28 to 506 of the family's 1533-position model. The record is from RNAcentral.
GACGAACGCUGGCGGCGUGCUUAACACAUGCAAGUCGAACGGAAAGGCCCUGCUUUUGUGGGGUGCUCGAGUGGCGAAAGGGUGAGUAAAACGUGAGUAACCUGCCCUUGACUUUGGGAUAACUUCAGGAAACUGGGGCUAAUACCGGAUAGGAGCUCCUGCUGCAUGGGGGGGGGUGGAAAGUUUCGGCGGGUGGGGAUGGACUCGCGGCUUAUCAGCUUGUUGGUGGGGGAGUGGCUUACCAAGGCUUUGACGGGUAGCCGGCCUGCGAGGGUGACCGGCCACAUUGGGACUGAGAUACGGCCCAGACUCCUACGGGAGGCAGCAGUGGGGAAUAUUGCACAAUGGGCGGAAGCCUGAUGCAGCAACGCCGCGUGCGGGAUGACGGCCUUCGGGUUGUAAACCGCUUUCGCCUGUGACGAAGCGUGAGUGACGGUAAUGGGUAAAGAAGCACCGGCUAACUACGU